RNAcentral lists this long non-coding RNA (1157 nucleotides) under Amborella trichopoda. RNAcentral's name for it is "long non-coding RNA (ATRI_LNC002406)". The record is from RNAcentral. Lineage: Eukaryota; Viridiplantae; Streptophyta; Magnoliopsida; Amborellales; Amborellaceae.
UCUGCAAAUUUGAACUUUCUUUCUUUUCCUCCCAACUACGCCAUGUGCAUCAGCAUUCAGGACCAUUUUGCAAGAAAGUUGAAGCAAAAGAAAAUCCGUUCUGUUAUAAUGAAAUAUCCCAGAAAACUAAAACGAGUGUUGUAAACAUAACAUUCUACAAAAGUGAAAACGUGAUACUGAAAAUAAAGGAGUGCAACUUGGUGUAGAGGGUAAUGAAGUUUUUUUUUUUUUAAAAAUGAGGGUAAUGAAGUUUUGAGAGGGGGAAACUGGUUUGUACAAAAAAAAUUAAGAGAGAGAGCGUCAGCAAAAAAAAAUUCCUAAAAAAGAAAAACCCACAGACAGAUUGAGAAAGAAGAUGCCCAAAACAGAAAUUUGUGAUAGAGAGGGAGAAACUGGUUUGCUGGAAAUACCCAAAAAAAAAAAAUCGAGAUAGAGAUAGAGACAACAGUAAAAAGCCCUAAAAAAGACCCACAGAGCGAUAUUGAGAAAGUGAGAAAGAAGAUGCCCAAAGAAAAAAUUCGUGAUAGAGAGAAAGGGAGAAACUGGUUUGCUAGAAAUGCCCAAAGAAAAAUGGAGAUAGAGAGAGAGUAGUGAAAAAAAUCCUAAACAAGACCCACAGAGAGAUGGAGAAAGUGAGAAAGAAGAUGCCCAAAGCAAAAAUUCAUGAUAGAAAGAGAGAGAGGGAGAAAUUGGUUUGCUGGAAAUACCCAAAAAAAAUGGAGAUAGAGACAAAGCUGUAAAAAAACCCUAAAAAAACCGACAGAGAUGGAAAAACUGAGGAAGAUGCCAAAAAAAUAAAAAUAAAAUCGUGAUAGUGAUAGAGAGGGAGAGAUUGGUUUGCUGGAAAUACCCAAAAAAACAUGGAGAUGGAGACAGAGAGACCACAUAGAGAUGAAGAAACUGACGAAGAAGAUGCCCCAAAAAAAUCGUGAGAUGAAGAAACUGACGAAGAAGAUGCCCCAAAAAAAUCGUGAUAGAGAGAGAGACUGGUUUGCUGGAAAUAUCCCAAAAAAAAAAAAAAAGAGAGAUAGAGAGCGUACCUGGUUUGAGUUUGAACAUGAGCUUGAGCGAGAGCAGCACAAAUGGGCCGGGCCGACUUAGAGAGACAGAAGGAGAAAAAUAUCAACGAAACUUUGAGACCACUGCGGCGCUUGGUU